UGGCCAGUGAUGAAGUCACCAUUAGUGCAGUCUGAGUUCUGGGAACCAGGUGAUGGAGUGUGUUCCAAGAAUGGACUGAGGGCC
Homo sapiens (human) is the source of this 84-nucleotide non-coding RNA. Lineage: Eukaryota; Metazoa; Chordata; Mammalia; Primates; Hominidae. The record is from Ensembl.